UACGUAGGGGGCAAGCGUUGUCCGGAUUUAUUGGGCGUAAAGAGCGUGUAGGCGGCCUGGCAAGUCCGCUGUGAAAACUCGAGGCUUAACCUCGAGACGUCGGUGGAAACUGCCUGGCUAGAGUCCGGAAGAGGAGAGUGGAAUUCCUGGUGUAGCGGUGAAAUGCGCAGAUAUCAGGAAGAACACCCGUGGCUAAGGCGGCUCUCUAGGACGGUACUGACGCUGAGACGCGAAAGCGUGGGGAGCGAACAGG
RNAcentral lists this ribosomal RNA (253 nucleotides) under uncultured bacterium. Its description in RNAcentral is "partial 16S ribosomal RNA". It matches the Rfam family "Bacterial small subunit ribosomal RNA", at positions 524 to 776 of the family's 1533-position model. The record is from RNAcentral.